AAUUUCUUGGUUCAUCAGUAUAUCACAAGCAGCAGCAAUGCAAAUUUCCCCACAAUGCCCCAUCAACAUGCUUCAAUCCUGACCUAAAUAGGCCAUCUCUAGGAUUUACAGAGUGGUU
RNAcentral lists this small RNA (118 nucleotides) under Chelonoidis abingdonii (Abingdon island giant tortoise). RNAcentral's name for it is "TUC338 (ENSCABG00000020137.1)". Lineage: Eukaryota; Metazoa; Chordata; Testudines; Testudinidae. The record is from RNAcentral.